GCUCAGCUUUACUGAAACCAUGGAGUCCUGUUCUUCAGGGACUGAAACCUAACCUGGAACUCAGGUCACCAAAGGAAAUGACCCAGGCCUCAAGGAAUUUUGAAACACUUGCUCAGGCAACAGCUCUCCUGGAGGCUGGCCAGCACAGGUCACACAAUGGCCCGAGCAACAUUCUGUUGCUUUCACAGAGGCCGCCCUCUGGGACUGUGGAGCAGAGUGCCAGCACCAGCGUCAGCAGAGCAGGCUUCCGGGCUGAGGACCGGUGCUGGAGCUAGUUCUGGAAGGGCCAGAUGUCAAAGCUUCGGGGAUACAGACAAGGAAGAUGUACAGCUGUGUAAGGACUAAUUCUUUACUGCUGCAGAGACCAACUGCGUUAACAAUACAGGCUACGAAGACAUAACUCAUGUAAGGAGAGAUUCCUUACUAUGUAGGGCUGACCACCUGGGUGAGGACUGGUGUCUGCAGCAACCAGGAAGGUGAGGAAACAGGAGCCCCCAGGCUAGGAGGGUUAAAAUA
Molecule: long non-coding RNA, 516 nt
Filed under: Chinchilla lanigera (long-tailed chinchilla)
Lineage: Eukaryota; Metazoa; Chordata; Mammalia; Rodentia; Chinchillidae
Description: lncRNA (ENSCLAG00000026438.1)
Source: RNAcentral